UACGUAGGGGGCGAGCGUUGUCCGGAUUUAUUGGGCGUAAAGCGCGUGUAGGCGGCCAGAUAGGUCCGUUGUGAAAACUGGAGGCUUAACCUCCAGCUGUCGAUGGAAACCAUCUGGCUAGAGUCCGGAAGAGGAGAGUGGAAUUCCUGGUGUAGCGGUGAAAUGCGCAGAUAUCAGGAAGAACACCCGUGGCGAAGGCGGCUCUCUGGGACGGUACUGACGCUGAGACGCGAAAGCGUGGGGAGCGAACAGG
Molecule: ribosomal RNA, 253 nt
Filed under: uncultured bacterium
Lineage: Bacteria
Description: partial 16S ribosomal RNA
Rfam family: Bacterial small subunit ribosomal RNA
Source: RNAcentral